RNAcentral lists this ribosomal RNA (471 nucleotides) under uncultured bacterium. RNAcentral's name for it is "partial 16S ribosomal RNA". It matches the Rfam family "Bacterial small subunit ribosomal RNA", at positions 28 to 507 of the family's 1533-position model. The record is from RNAcentral.
GACGAACGCUGGCGGCGUGCUUAACACAUGCAAGUCGAACGAUGAAGCGGUGCUUGCACCGUGGACUAGUGGCGAACGGGUGAGUAAUACGGGAGUGACCUACCUUUGACUCUGGGAUAAGCCUGGGAAACUGGGUCUAAUACCGGAUACGACCAAUCACUGCAUGGGGUGUUGGUGGAAAGUGUUAUGGAGUGGUUUUUGAUGGGCCCACGGCCUAUCAGCUUGUUGGUGAGGUAAUGGCUUACCAAGGCGACGACGGGUAGCCGGCCUGAGAGGGUGACCGGCCACACUGGGACUGAGACACGGCCCAGACUCCUACGGGAGGCAGCGGUGGGGAAUAUUGCACAAUGGGCGCAAGCCUGAUGCAGCGACGCCGCGUGAGGGAUGACGGCCUUCGGGUUGUAAACCUCUGUUGGCUUCGAAGAAGCGAAAGUGACGGUAGGUGCAGAGAAAGCGCCGGCUAACUACGUG